Molecule: non-coding RNA, 2985 nt
Organism: Struthio camelus australis
Lineage: Eukaryota; Metazoa; Chordata; Aves; Struthioniformes; Struthionidae
Source: RefSeq, a predicted model, not a curated record
UUUUUUUUCUUUCUCGUGCCGCUGCAACCUCUGCGGCCGCCGGGGCCGUUUCAGGACGGAUUCGCCCCAGUGCGAACAGCUUGAAACAUGUUUUUCACAUGCAAUAUUGAUCUAUUUUUCCCAUUUUUUGGGGUUUUGCUUUUUUAUUUAAUGCACUUCCUUUUGCCUCCGGUUCUUCCAGCAAAAGCAACUCUCGUUUUGCUCCAUUUUCCUACGUUUUGCCAGUCCGCCUUUUCCCGCUUGCUCUUCCAACCAGGGGGACUUUGAAAUGCAAAAGCAUUGCGGAAAGGCUGCUUUUAGCGAAGGUCAGGCAGAAAUUAACCCCAAUCUGGCUUUUUUCCCCCCCCCUCCUCAGUUAGGGCUCGCACAGUGCCCUUAUUGUGCGCAGAGAGAUCGCUCACGGAAACCGUCUGGGACCCAAAAUGGUUUUGCAUGAACGGCAAAAUUUCCCACCGGCUCUAAAAAACACGGCUGGCACUUUGCAUCGCCCCGUGGGAAAAUUGCCAGGGAGCAUUGGAGGUGCAGGUGGAGGUGCACGUUGGAGGUGCCCAUGGAGGUGCCCGUGGAGGUACAUGUUGGAGGUGCACGUGGAGGUACAUGGUAGAGGUGCACGUGCAGGUGGACGUGAAGGUGCACAUGGAGGUGCACGUUGGAGGUGCCCAUGGAGGUGCAGGUGGAGGUGCAUGUUGGCGGUGCACACUGGAGGUGCACAUGGAGGUGCACGUUGGAGGUGCUGAUGGAGGUGCACGUGGAGGUGCAUGUUGGAGGUGCAUGUGGAGGUGCAUGUUAGAGAUGCACAUGGAGGUGCCCGUGGAGGUACAUGUUGGAGGUGCAUGUGGAGGUGCAUGUUAGAGAUGCACAUGGAGGUGCAGGUGGAGGUGCCUGUUGCAGAUGCAUGUGGAGGUGCAUGUGGAGGUACACACUGGAGGUGCCCAUGGAGGUGCCCGUGGAGAUUUCUCCUUACCUGAAGACCUUCCCGCACCUCAGACUCACUCUGGUUUUCCAUCCGUUGGCCAAUAGCUGACGCGUCUGCAUGAGGACCUUCGCCUGUAGACAUCGUUCUUCACCCAAAAUGGUUUCUGGUUUUUCUUCUGAGCCACGAAACCCAAGCGUCCUCUCCAACUUUGGUCACUGGCCAGAGGAAAGCUCUGCAAAUGCUUAUUUUUGAGGAUCUCUGCAUCUCACAUGCUGGUUUUUGGCAAAGCUUCAUUUUUUUCAUCCUUAGCAACAAAUGCAUUUACCAAAAUUGAAGCUAUUGAGGGCAACAGGGCUGAUUUUAGGGCAAAAAUGACUUUUUCCCCUCUCCUUUAGGUUUUUAAAGUUAUCCAGAUGACUAUGACUAAAUACCUCCCGAAGGGUUGCUCUGGUUGGGUCCGCCUAGACCAAGACACCAGUGAACACCAGGAGAUGAUUCCCAUCGCUUCCACCACCCCAAAGCCAACAAAGCUCAGGAAAAUGGUUCAUUAAAAAGGUUGCUCCAGCAUGGAUACAUCAUCCUGGCUUUGGGCUUGGUUGAACAUGAGUCCAGAUGGACCCUCAAAAUACAUCACGGCCAGCACCCAAGUAGACCCUCAAAAGGCGUCAUGGCCAGAGCCCAGGUGAGCCUUCAAAAGAUGUUGCACCUGGAACCCAGGUGGACCCUCAAAACAUGUCACAGCCGGUGCCCAGGUGGACCCUCAAAACACAUCAUGGCCAGCCAGGGAAACAGAUCAAGUGGUUGCUGGAGCUGGACCACCUCUGGUCCUCCAUGUCCAUCUUCAGCUGUGGUGGAAACUCAUCCCAGGUGGCUGGUUGAUGCCUCUAUACUCAGCCAUUUUGGGGGUUUGGGGUUUUUUGGGGGGUUGCUACAUCUGCCCACAGAUGCCUCCGGCUGCAGCAAGCCCCCAUGGAGGUGGGUCGCGCCUACUGCUCCGGGUAGACGGGGGCUUCAACUUCGUUCCGCCUGCGGUCUGAGAUGCGACUGGAAGGGGUGAAAAGCGUGGAGCAUCCUUCCACCCCACAGGAGCCACAGAGGGAGAAAGGCACUAAAACAUGGUGCUGAGGGAUCUGACAUGUGGCUCCAACCACGUGUGGACAUCCAAGGUGGACUCAACAGAACGGCCAAGGUGCAAAACAGCUGGCCAGAGGUGUGAAAUGCCUCCCUGAUGCGUGGAUCCACCUCAGCUCCUGAUGCAUGGAUUAAAUGAGGUGAAGCUCAUCUGAAUGUCAGCACCCAAGGCUUCCUCUGACUUUGCCCUAUUCCCAGUAGAAGACUUUGGGCAUCUCCAGAUCUCCUUAUCCAAGUCCUUCUCCCAAAAUAUCUACUUAUCUCCAUGAGCCACCCAUAGAGUUUAGCUCCAGCUGUGAGGUUUAAAUGAAUAUAGAUCUCUGGGCAGCAUGAAUCCCACCACUCUUGGGCUCAGAUGUCCCACUGGUAACCACCUAGUCAUGGUGGACCAGCCCCAAUUUUGCUAUUUGGAUACUGAGGUUAGAAAGGACCAAAUCUGCCUGUUUUAGCCCCAUUAUUUUGCCUCCUCAUUGCUUCUCAUGGGGAUCAGAGGGGCCAAGCAGGAGAGUGAAGCAGAAGAGACCCCAUAAAAUGGCGAUGAGCUGUUUGUUUCUGCUAGAUCUUGGCUUGCUUUCCCUUUUUCGCAAAACAAAUUUCUGGAUUAGGGUCAAAAAGCAAUUUUUUAAAGGACAUUUUAGGGCAGAGCCAACGUAUUGGAUGUCUAUUCUCCAUACGCACGUCUCUAACCGUCGUCCCAUCGCUGAUCCGCACCUCGGCUUGGGAAAAAACGAACUUUUGGGGGAAUUUAAUAGGGAGGGUUCAUCCAGCCGAAUUCGUAGCGUGAGAUGUGAAUGCGAAGGUGGGAAGAGCCACUUACGGGCGUAAUUUCCUCGGUUUUGUGUAUCAGUCACUGUGGACAGAACCAGAGAAGAUGGAGACGCCCUUGCUGGACUCGGAGGUCAUUCUUUGCCCUCUCGUUUGCAAAAAAAUAGCAUCGU